GAUGCACGAGGCACUGUAAAUGUGCACGCGAUAAGUAUUUAAAUUUCUUUUUUAACUUUCAUAAUUAGAUUAAGAUUUCCCCUCUAUUUAUUAAAGGGAAGGAAUUACCUUUACCAAAAGUGCAGUUUGAGAAGUUAGAGUGGGCAGUAGAAAAUACAUAACUACAUCUACAAAUAAAAGAGUUCUACUUUGGUGCUCCACAGACUAUUAUAUGUUUAUUUUGUCUACUGUUAAAAUAUGGUUUUAACUUAGUAAGCUUAAAUUUACUAUGUUGAUCAUUAGCUAAUAGUUUGAAAAGAAAUUUUUUGCAAACAAGACAACCAAUUUUUAUGCGAGUGGCUAAUGAGUGGCCUAGAGGUCAUAUUUAUAUUAAAAUAUUUUUUAAAAAAUUUUUUCUUGAAGAAGUAUUUGCGCCGAUUGUUUAAAGUUAUGCUUUUUAAGAUUUUUGACUAAAUUUAGAGCGAUUUCCAAGCAUUGGUGCAAAUAGAUUCUGAUGUCAAAUCCAGUUAAUUUGUUCAACAAUGUUUUCUUUAUGUAUUCCUGUACCAAAAAAAACACUGUGUUUAUUAAUUUAAGAAAUAUGUUGUGUCGAUCUUGCACUGA
This is a non-coding RNA of Hydra vulgaris (swiftwater hydra), 603 nucleotides long. The record is from RefSeq and is a predicted model, not a curated record. Lineage: Eukaryota; Metazoa; Cnidaria; Hydrozoa; Anthoathecata; Hydridae.